UCUUCUUAGAAGAUUUUAUUUUACAAGAAACGAACAUCUGAAAAUGGCAAGUGACGUUGUUAAUUUGGGGAUAAAAAUAUGGCGGGUGUUUUCCCCUUCUGAAAAUAACUGACACAUUUGCAUCCUAUUGGCUAUUUAAAUAUAAAAUGACCAAAAAUAGUAUCUAUGAUGAUAGGAGUCCCUAAAUAUUUGCAUAAAUACCCAUCACUCCGUGUCAAAUUGUAACUGAGGCUGCGAAAAGGAAGCACACAAAUCGACGCCAUUUUUCAACAGAUUAAGGUUUCUGAGCUCACGAAAUCCUAGUAUUAUUACUUUUAAUGAUAACAAUAGGAAAAAGAAGAGCAGGAUUUCUAUAUUGAGGAUUUACAUGUAUGGGACAGAGGACUAUUUGACUUGAUUUUACUUUAAAAAACUUUAUAAUUUUAACAAUAGUUCUCCUUAAUUGUUUAAAAUACUUUUUACAUAUUUUUCAUUUUAACAUUAUUUUUAUGACUUUGUAUUUAUUCAUCACUUAAUAAACUUUUAUUUCUAAACAUU
Mytilus trossulus (common blue mussel) is the source of this 537-nucleotide long non-coding RNA. RefSeq lists it as uncharacterized. The record is from RefSeq and is a predicted model, not a curated record. NCBI's taxonomy places the organism in Eukaryota, Metazoa, Mollusca, Bivalvia, Mytilida, Mytilidae. The transcript is spliced from 2 exons.